GACGAACGCGGGCGGCGUGCUUAACACAUGCAAGUCGAACGAUGAAGCCUAGCUUGCUAGGUGGAUUAGUGGCGAACGGGUGAGUAAUACGUGAGUAACCUACCUUUAACUCUGGGAUAAGCCUGGGAAACUGGGUCUAAUACCGGAUACGACCAAUCUCCGCAUGGGGUGUUGGUGGAAAGCGUUAUGUAGUGGUUAUAGAUGGGCUCACGGCCUAUCAGCUUGUUGGUGAGGUAACGGCUCACCAAGGCGACGACGGGUAGCCGGCCUGAGAGGGUGACCGGCCACACUGGGACUGAGACACGGCCCAGACUCCUACGGGAGGCAGCAGUGGGGAAUAUUGCACAAUGGGCGAAAGCCUGAUGCAGCGACGCCGCGUGAGGGAUGACGGCCUUCGGGUUGUAAACCUCUUUCGCUCAUGGUCAAGCCGCAGCUUUGGGUUGUGGUGAGGGUAGUGGGUAAAGAAGCGCCGGCUAACUACGUGCCAGCAGCCGCGGUAAUACGUAGGGCGCGAGCGUUGUCCGGAAUUAUUGGGCGUAAAGGGCUUGUAGGCGGUUGGUCGCGUCUGCCGUGAAAUCCUCUGGCUUAACUGGGGGCGUGCGGUGGGUACGGGCUGACUUGAGUGCGGUAGGGGAGACUGGAACUCCUGGUGUAGCGGUGGAAUGCGCAGAUAUCAGGAAGAACACCGGUGGCGAAGGCGGGUCUCUGGGCCGUUACUGACGCUGAGGAGCGAAAGCGUGGGGAGCGAACAGG
This 753-nucleotide ribosomal RNA is filed under the name Rothia mucilaginosa. Its description in RNAcentral is "bacterial SSU rRNA". It matches the Rfam family "Bacterial small subunit ribosomal RNA", at positions 28 to 776 of the family's 1533-position model. The record is from RNAcentral. Lineage: Bacteria; Bacillati; Actinomycetota; Actinomycetes; Micrococcales; Micrococcaceae.